GGCAGGCGUGCUGCUGAGGCAUGAGUAUGGCGUCUCGCGGCCGGCGUCCGGAGCACGGUGGACCACCGGAGCUGUUUUAUGAUGAGAAAGAAGCCCGGAAAUACGUUCGCAACUCACGGAUGAUUGAUAUCCAGACCAGGAUGGCUAGGCGAGCACUGGAGCUUCUUUAUCUGCCAGAGAAUAAGCCCUGUUACCUGCUGGAUAUUGGCUGUGGCACUGGGCUGAGUGGAAGUUAUCUCUCAGAUGAAGGGCACUAUUGGGUGGGCCUGGAUAUCAGCCCUGCCAUGCUGGAUGAGGCCGUGGACCGAGAGAUAGAGGGAGACCUACUGCUGGGGGAUAUGGGCCAGGGCAUCCCAUUCAAGCUGGGCACAUUUGACGGUUGCAUCAGCAUUUCUGCUGUGCAGUGGCUGUGUAAUGCUAACAAGAAGUCUGAAAACCCUGCCAAGCGCCUGUACUGCUUUUUUGCUUCUCUUUUUUCUGUUAUCGUCCGGGGAUCCCGAGCUGUCCUGCAGCUAUACCCUGAGAACUCAGAGCAGUUGGAGCUGAUCACAACCCAGGCCACAAAGGCGGGCUUCUCCGGUGGCAUGGUGGUGGACUACCCUAACAGUGCCAAAGCAAAGAAAUUCUACCUCUGCUUGUUUUCUGGGCCUUCGACCUUUAUACCAGAGGGGCUGAGUGAAAAUCAGGAUGAAGAUGAACCCAGGGAGUCUGUGUUCACCAAUGAGAGGGUCCCAUUCAGGAUGUCGCGGCGGGGAAUGGUGAGGAAGAGCCGGGCAUGGGUGCUGGAGAAGAAGGAGCGGCACAGGCGCCAGGGCAGGGAAGUCAGACCUGACACCCAGUACACCGGCCGCAAGCGCAAGCCCCGCUUCUAAGUCACCACACAGUUCUGGACAGGCACUUGCC
This is an RNA transcript of Cercocebus atys (sooty mangabey), 903 nucleotides long. It is a transcript of the gene named probable 18S rRNA (guanine-N(7))-methyltransferase pseudogene, with no coding region annotated. The record is from RefSeq and is a predicted model, not a curated record. NCBI's taxonomy places the organism in Eukaryota, Metazoa, Chordata, Mammalia, Primates, Cercopithecidae. The transcript has a single exon.